Molecule: long non-coding RNA, 2096 nt
Organism: Triticum aestivum (bread wheat)
Lineage: Eukaryota; Viridiplantae; Streptophyta; Magnoliopsida; Poales; Poaceae
Exons: 4
Source: RefSeq, a predicted model, not a curated record
CAACCCACUUCUCCUCCCCACGCACGCCACCUCCUUUCCCCCUCUCCCUCUCAGACCCACUCGCCGCGAAGACUAGAGGCAGAACGCGGCACGCGUCGGUCGACGAGGAGGAGCUGCGCCGCCGCCGGAGCACCGACUGCAUCUACUACCUCGCGCUCCCCGUUGACCUUCAAGAAGGGAAAGCAUUCUCCAGUUGUUUGUGAACGCCAUUGCUCAGGGCUCCAUGUGCACAUUCACAAACAUUAGUCGCCAAUGGAGCAGAGCGCCAUUGCUGAUGUAGCUUAAAAUGGUGAUCAGUGACCGACUGAGUGUGCUUGAAGUUUGAGGUGGAGUGCAAGGAGGAGGACACCCGGGUGGAGAUCUACUGCGCCGCCAAGCCGGGGCUACUGCUGUCGAUGGUGAGCACACUGUCCCUCAACAUCCAGCAGUGCGUCGUCGACUGCUUCAACGACUUCGCCAUGCACGCCUCCUUCUCCAAGAUGCAGAGGGAGAUGUGCUGCUGGAUCUUAUAAGGAGGUCACUCUGACAAGACUGGCUAGCUGUGAUUCUCGUGGGAAUAAAGAGGAUGGGACCUGUGAUUGUCAUGGAUCUGGAGGUGACACUGAUCAGGAAGGUAAGUUUACUACGAUCUGGAGUAAUAUUACUAGAUUGCAAAUCAUGAAUUUAGUAGUUACUGCAGAAUAUUGGUUAGUUGGUUCAGUUUACCUUUCAUGUUUAUAUGGUCUAACGACAUCUGACAUAGCAGAUGCUUGGUCCAGCUGGAGAUAGCUUACAUGGUUUUAUUUCACCAUAAUAUAUUUCCAACAAGAUCGUUCCCUAUUGUUUCCUGAAGAAAACUAACGAUCAAACUGUAGAAAAAACAUUGUUUAGAGGAGUUAAUAUACAAUUUGUUGUCUUGCAAUUGGCUUCUAAAAUUUACAGCAGGAGUACGCAAUGAGUUUGAACAAAUGAAUGCAAAACCUAGCAGAUUUUGCGAUGUUACUGUUUCUUGAUAUCUUCCUCAUUUGUAUUAUGUGUAUUCCUUAGUUGACAGCUAUUUUAAUGUAUACUCUCCCCUUAUUUUGAGGAAACUUCACGGGGCAGAGGAUCACUACAAUUUUUUGUUUCAAAUAGGAAAUGAACAAAACAUGAUUUUGCCAACCUCUCAUGUAGUAUAUAUGUACCUAUUUCAUAAAGUACAUCGGUUUAAAUACAAGUUUGCAACUCAUGACGAUGAGUCGAGGAGUGAAAGAAGUUUGGAACUCACACAAGUGUCAUACUCGCAUGACCAAAUCAGGCUACGAAGACAAGUCUUCAUGCGCACAUGAUUGCCGAUUUUAGUUACACAGUACCAUUUAAAAAGCGGCUGACAUUUGAUGAAUUGCCGAAGGGUGGUGGCUGGACACCAUGGGGGACAGUGUUCCAAGAUGGUUAGACGUUAGCUACUGAUUCACAAUCUAUCAAUCCUAUCUUCAUGUAUCUGUGUGUGUUAGGUACAUCUACUUGAUUUCUUCUUCUGAUUUAGGGAGGUCUUUAGAAUCUGAGAGGAAAUUGAUGUAAAAUUUAUUUUCCUAUUCUUGGAAACUCUUGCUUAGGAAAAUCAUAAUGUUCUUUUCAUUGUACAAGCAGUACAAGGUCCAACAUGGUUGUGCUGAUGUCUAGGUUUCGACUUCCUUGUGAGGUGCCCUCCUCUUGAGUAUGCCAAUACUUCACGGUGGUGAGGUCUGUCUCGAUGGUAGACCGGUUGAUUGAUUAAAUGGCAAUAGGAGCAGCUUAGUGAGCCAGUGAUGCAACUGUGCAUCGUCUCUUGACGCACCACUGUCGACCCCAGCUACUGCAUGUACAUAUGAUAUGCCAAUACUUCACGGUGGUGAGGUCUGUCUCGAUGGUAGACCGGUUGAUUGAUUAAAUGGCAAUAGGAGCAGCUUAGUGAGCCAGUGAUGCAACUGUGCAUCGUCUCUUGACGCACCACUGUCGACCCCAGCUACUGCAUGUACAUAUGAUCCAUGUAUCGUGUUUAGUUUCUCACUAAGACUUGGUAUGCUUGUGUUGUGAUGAUUCGAGGAACUCUACCUCUUUUGGAGAUCGCCCACCUUUUGGAGACUGCUAAACCUUGA